This is a long non-coding RNA of Lathyrus oleraceus (garden pea), 506 nucleotides long. RefSeq lists it as uncharacterized. The record is from RefSeq and is a predicted model, not a curated record. NCBI's taxonomy places the organism in Eukaryota, Viridiplantae, Streptophyta, Magnoliopsida, Fabales, Fabaceae. The transcript is spliced from 3 exons.
ACUUGUAUAUGUCGGAACAACUCUUAAAGAUCUUUCGGAUGUAACACAUGGUUGGAGCGAAUUCUCCAAGACUCGUUGGGCAUUUAUCAUUAUCAGUCUCGUAGUAUCGGUGGUUCUUAUGAUAUGUGUUACUAAAGUUGCAAAGUCUGCUUUGGAUAAAGCCUUGGCCGAAAACGAAGAUAUCGACAUCGACGGGGUUACAUCAUCCUCGCCAGAAUUACCCAUUGUUGCUGAACAAUCAUCAGAGCUUAACCAACCUCUCAUAAUUAAGAUAGAUUCUAAUGAAGACAAUCAUGAAAAGUAAAUUCAUUUUUUGUGUAAAUUCUUUCUUCCUCUCCUUAUAGUUGAUUUUUUUUUCCAUUGAUGUUCAAGAGAUAGCUACCAGGUCUUCAUAUUUGUUUGUGAUUUGUACAGUUCCAACAUUAGAAAUAUAGUCUGUGACAGGAGUUUUUAAUCCUACCAUCAAGAUGACAUUAUUGACUAUGACAAAAAAGUUCAUGCUGUUA